AGUGAACGCUGGCGGUAGGCCUAACACAUGCAAGUCGAACGGCAGCACAGUAAGAGCUUGCUCUUACGGGUGGCGAGUGGCGGACGGGUGAGGAAUACAUCGGAAUCUACUUUUUCGUGGGGGAUAACGUAGGGAAACUUACGCUAAUACCGCAUACGACCUACGGGUGAAAGCAGGGGAUCUUCGGACCUUGCGCGAUUGAAUGAGCCGAUGUCGGAUUAGCUAGUUGGCGGGGUAAAGGCCCACCAAGGCGACGAUCCGUAGCUGGUCUGAGAGGAUGAUCAGCCACAUUGGAACUGAGACACGGUCCAGACUCCUACGGGAGGACGCAGUGGGGAAUAUUGGACAAUGGGGGCAAGCCUGAUCCAGCCAUACCGCGUGGGUGCAGAAGGCCUUCGGGUUGUAAAGCCCUUUUGUUGGGAAAGAAAAGCAGCAGGUUAAUACCCCGCUGUUCUGACGGUACCCAAAGAAUAAGCACCGGCUAACUUCGUG
This 492-nucleotide ribosomal RNA is filed under the name uncultured bacterium. RNAcentral describes it as "partial 16S ribosomal RNA". It matches the Rfam family "Bacterial small subunit ribosomal RNA", at positions 29 to 507 of the family's 1533-position model. The record is from RNAcentral.